UGGGGAAUCUUGGACAAUGGGCGAAAGCCUGAUCCAGCAAUGCCGCGUGCGUGAAGAAGGCCUUCGGGUUGUAAAGCGCUUUUGUCGGGGAGGAAAUCCUAACGGUUAAUAACUGUUGGGGAUGACAGUACCCGAAGAAUAAGGACCGGCUAACUACGUGCCAGCAGCCGCGGUAAUACGUAGGGUCCAAGCGUUAAUCGGAAUUACUGGGCGUAAAGCGUCCGCAGGUGGCUUGAUAAGAUAGACGUGAAAUCCCUGGGCUCAACCUAGGAAUUGCGUUUAUGACUGUCUCGCUAGAGUAUGGGAGAGGGGGGUGGAAUUCCGCGUGUAGCAGUGAAAUGCGUAGAGAUGCGGAGGAACACCGAUGGCGAAGGCAACCCCCUGGCCUAAUACUGACACUCAUGGACGAAAGCGUGGGGAGCAAACAGG
RNAcentral lists this ribosomal RNA (429 nucleotides) under uncultured bacterium. RNAcentral describes it as "bacterial SSU rRNA". It matches the Rfam family "Bacterial small subunit ribosomal RNA", at positions 355 to 776 of the family's 1533-position model. The record is from RNAcentral.